Molecule: ribosomal RNA, 447 nt
Filed under: uncultured bacterium
Lineage: Bacteria
Description: bacterial SSU rRNA
Rfam family: Bacterial small subunit ribosomal RNA
Source: RNAcentral
UGGGGAAUCUUGGACAAUGGGCGCAAGCCUGAUCCAGCCAUGCCGCGUGAGUGAAGAAGGCCUUAGGGUUGUAAAACUCUUUCGCCGGAGAAGAUAAUGACGGUAUCCGGAGAAGAAGCCCCGGCUAACUUCGUGCCAGCAGCCGCGGUAAUACGAAGGGGGCUAGCGUUGUUCGGAAUUACUGGGCGUAAAGCGCACGUAGGCGGGUCUGUAAGUAGAGGGUGAAAUCCCAGGGCUCAACCCUGGAACUGCCUUCUAGACUGCAGGCCUGGAGGUCAGGAGAGGCGAGCGGAAUUCCGAGUGUAGAGGUGAAAUUCGUAGAUAUUCGGAGGAACACCAGUGGCGAAGGCGGCUCGCUGGACUGAUACUGACGCUGAGGUGCGAAAGCGUGGGGAGCAAACAGGAUUAGAUACCCUUGUAGUCCCUGAGCGGGCUGGCAAGGCGCAU